Molecule: ribosomal RNA, 198 nt
Filed under: uncultured bacterium
Lineage: Bacteria
Description: partial 16S ribosomal RNA
Rfam family: Bacterial small subunit ribosomal RNA
Source: RNAcentral
ACGCUCGACACCUACGGGAAGCAGCAGUGGGGAAUAUUGCACAAUGGAGGAAACUCUGAUGCAGCGAUGCCGCGUGAGGGAAGAAGGUUUUCGGAUUGUAAACCUCUGUCUUUGGGGACGAUAAUGACGGUACCCAAGGAGGAAGCUCCGGCUAACUACGUGCCAGCAGCGGCGGUAAUCUGAGCGGGCUGGCAAGGC